CCAACGUGGAUAUCCGGAGAAGUUGCUCUCUCUCGGCUCUGUCCGUGUGGCGCAUGGGAGCGUAGGCCCUCGGGCCCAUGACGUACGGUCCCUUUCCACGACGUUGGAGAUCAAGCCGGGCCUCGAGUCUGCAGCCUGCAUAUUCCUACUGCUUCUCCGAGCCUUCGGGUGAUGACGGAGGAGAUAAACCAUGCAGGAAACACUC
This 205-nucleotide small nucleolar RNA is filed under the name Antrostomus carolinensis (chuck-will's-widow). Its description in RNAcentral is "Caprimulgus carolinensis (chuck-will's-widow) Small nucleolar RNA SNORA73 family". It matches the Rfam family "Small nucleolar RNA SNORA73 family". Rfam says of the family: U17 (SNORA73A and SNORA73B) also known as E1 belongs to the H/ACA class of small nucleolar RNAs (snoRNAs). Vertebrate U17 is intron-encoded and ranges in length from 200-230 nucleotides, longer than most snoRNAs. The record is from Rfam by way of RNAcentral. Lineage: Eukaryota; Metazoa; Chordata; Aves; Caprimulgiformes; Caprimulgidae.